RNAcentral lists this ribosomal RNA (324 nucleotides) under uncultured eukaryote. RNAcentral describes it as "partial 18S ribosomal RNA". It matches the Rfam family "Eukaryotic small subunit ribosomal RNA", at positions 1470 to 1796 of the family's 1831-position model. The record is from RNAcentral.
CCCUUAGAUGUCCUGGGCUGCACGCGCGCUACACUGAUGUGUCCAGUAAGCACCUAACCUAUUCCGAGAGGAGCGGGUAACCUUAGCAAAGCACAUCGUGAUGGGGAUAGAUUAUUGCAAUUAUUAGUCUUGAACGAGGAAUUCCUAGUAAGCACAAGUCAUCAGCUUGUGUUGAUUACGUCCCUGCCCUUUGUACACACCGCCCGUCGCUCCUACCGAUUGAAUGUUCCGGUGAGCUCUUCGGACUGCGCGGCCUGCAGUUUCUGCGUUCCGUGCGGAAAGUUGUGCAAACCUUAACAUUUAGAGGAAGGAGAAGUCGUAACA